AUUGAACGCUGGCGGCAUGCCUUACACAUGCAAGUCGAACGGCAGGACGGGUGGUUUCCCUUGGUGGCGAUUGGCGCACGCGUGAGUAUUACAUCUGGACAUGUUCUCUAUCGGGGGGUGGCCAGUCGGAAACCGGGUUGAUACCACAGACUAAUUUCUUGAGACGGCUGGGUAAAUUGUGGCCGCCGGCCUUGGUGUUUGCUAUUGACGGAUUAGCGCUUGAUUAGCUAGUUGGUCAGGUAAGGGCCUACCAAGGCGACGAUGAGUAGCUGGUCUGAGAGGACGAUCAGCCACACUGGGACUGAGACACGGCCCAGACUCCUACGGGAGGCAGCAGUGGGGAAUUUUGGACAAUGGGCGAAAGCCUGAUCCAGCAAUGCCGCGUGUGUGAAGAAGGCCUUCGGAUUGUAAAGCACUUUUGUCAGGAAAGAACACCUUGGUCAUAAUCCGGUCGGGGCAUGACGGUACCGGAAGAAUAAGCCACGGCUAACUACGUG
This 497-nucleotide ribosomal RNA is filed under the name uncultured bacterium. Its description in RNAcentral is "partial 16S ribosomal RNA". It matches the Rfam family "Bacterial small subunit ribosomal RNA", at positions 30 to 507 of the family's 1533-position model. The record is from RNAcentral.